RNAcentral lists this ribosomal RNA (458 nucleotides) under uncultured bacterium. RNAcentral describes it as "partial 16S ribosomal RNA". It matches the Rfam family "Bacterial small subunit ribosomal RNA", at positions 339 to 795 of the family's 1533-position model. The record is from RNAcentral.
CUACGGGGGGCACCAGUGAGGAAUAUUGGACAAUGGAGGCAACUCUGAUCCAGCCAUGCCGCGUGCAGGAAGACGGCCCUAUGGGUUGUAAACUGCUUUUAUACAGGAAGAAUGUUAUCUACGUGUAGAUAUUUGACGGUACUGUACGAAUAAGGAUCGGCUAACUCCGUGCCAGCAGCCGCGGUAAUACGGAGGAUCCAAGCGUUAUCCGGAAUCAUUGGGUUUAAAGGGUCCGCAGGCGGUUCAUUAAGUCAGAGGUGAAAUCCUACCGCUCAACGGUAGCAUUGCCUUUGAUACUGAUGGACUUGAGUUAUAGGGAAGUAGUUAGAAUGUGUAGUGUAGCGGUGAAAUGCAUAGAUAUUACACAGAAUACCGAUUGCGAAAGCAGAUUACUAACUGUAUACUGACGCUGAGGGACGAAAGCGUGGGUAGCGAACAGGAUUAGAUACCCGGUAGUC